UGCGAUCAUUUUCCCUUGCAUAUACUGAGUGAGAGGGGACUUUUCUUUAUAUAGCCAUCUACUGAAGCCAUCAGGCUUCAGUAUAGACUGAAGCCAUCAGGCUUUAGUCUGCACCCAAGUAAACCUCUUAUAUACACUAGUGGAAUUGUCGGAAAAAAACUUGCUACAAAAUAUGAUGGAUGCCACAGACAAGUAGGUGGUAUCGAUGAUGGAAUGCCCCCUGAUUUGAAAAUCCAUGGACUGGAUAAAGCACUACUGCUUGAUUGGGGAGAUGACAAAAAAGGUGGUGAGCUUGUCUUUUCUCUCAAAGCUGCCACUUAAGCUGGUGAUAGGAAUGAGAAUGUUGGGACACUUGAUGUAAAUUCCAUUGGUAUUGAUGUAGAUUGCCCCCACAAUGUUUCCCGAGUUGAUCCCCCAAAAGAGAUGGGCAAUCCACCAAAAUGUCCAUGUCUCAUAUCCUGCACCCCACCAAAAGUACCAAACAAAGGCAGUGUUGUGGAGGAAAAAUGCCACACCUCCAGAGCAUCUUGAAACACCACAGAUUCUUACCCCCCACUUGCCGAUGUUACAAACGAAGUGCUUAUUUGAGUUGAACCUCCAAGAGAUAAGCUUGUCCCUUAGCUUGAGCUAAUUCUAAAGAACGAAGUCCUCAAACCUCUUCCUGGUGAUCUAGACUCAUAUCCAUGAACUUGCUGAGGCACUCCUCAAAUGACAUCACCAAAACUUCCACAACCUCCUCUAAGGUGCCCUUGACAGCUGCCAGAACCAGCUUCUUUCCCUUGUGAGAAAGAAUGAAUAGCUUCCUCUCGCAACCCCUGAGCAAUG
Molecule: long non-coding RNA, 825 nt
Filed under: Selaginella moellendorffii
Lineage: Eukaryota; Viridiplantae; Streptophyta; Lycopodiopsida; Selaginellales; Selaginellaceae
Description: long non-coding RNA (SMOE_LNC000998)
Source: RNAcentral